RNAcentral lists this ribosomal RNA (428 nucleotides) under Phymanthus crucifer. Its description in RNAcentral is "partial 16S large subunit ribosomal RNA". It matches the Rfam family "Bacterial large subunit ribosomal RNA", at positions 1975 to 2452 of the family's 2925-position model. The record is from RNAcentral. Lineage: Eukaryota; Metazoa; Cnidaria; Anthozoa; Actiniaria; Phymanthidae.
AUUAAUUGUUGGCCGGUAUGAAUGGCGUCACGAAGGCCCCACUGUCUUAAGAGGACUCUCCAUGAAAUUGAAUUCGUAGUGAAGAUGCUACGUCCAUAUUGUAAGACGAAAAGACCCCAUUGAGCUUUACUAAAGACUUGCAUGGCUCAAAAUAAUUUGAUUUAAAUAAAGAGUUUAGAUAAUGUGGGAUCCGUUUCCGGUUAAUGAAACACCACUCUUUUAUUUUAAGAGAGCUAACAUUACAGGGAUAGUGUAAGUUGGAUAGUUUGGUUGGGGCGACCACCUUUUAAAAGGUAACGAAGGUGAGCUUAAGGUCCGUAGUUAAUAGCCGGUGGCCUGACUGCAAGGGAAACGUCUCGAGCAGACACGUCCUUAGGGAUGUGGACUAUAGUGACCCGUCAUCUUAGUGUGGAAUAGUUGACGAUCAA